This 352-nucleotide ribosomal RNA is filed under the name Salmonella enterica subsp. enterica serovar Infantis. Its description in RNAcentral is "partial 23S ribosomal RNA". It matches the Rfam family "Bacterial large subunit ribosomal RNA", at positions 169 to 559 of the family's 2925-position model. Lineage: Bacteria; Pseudomonadati; Pseudomonadota; Gammaproteobacteria; Enterobacterales; Enterobacteriaceae. The record is from RNAcentral.
GGUUAAUGAGGCGAACCGGGGGAACUGAAACAUCUAAGUACCCCGAGGAAAAGAAAUCAACCGAGAUUCCCCCAGUAGCGGCGAGCGAACGGGGAGGAGCCCAGAGCCUGAAUCAGCAUGUGUGUUAGUGGAAGCGUCUGGAAAGGCGCGCGAUACAGGGUGACAGCCCCGUACACAAAAGCGCAUGUGCUGUGAGCUCGAUGAGUAGGGCGGGACACGUGGUAUCCUGUCUGAAUAUGGGGGGACCAUCCUCCAAGGCUAAAUACUCCUGACUGACCGAUAGUGAACCAGUACCGUGAGGGAAAGGCGAAAAGAACCCCGGCGAGGGGAGUGAAAAAGAACCUGAAACCGU